CGCGCGAUGCAACCUCGCAGCGGUGCAGAAACACUUGCGUGCACGGUGCGACCUUGCAGCGGUGCAGACGCGGUUGCAUGCACGGUGCGACCUUGCAGCGAUGCAGGCACAUUUGCACGCACGGUGCAACCUUGCAGCGAUGCAAAAGUGUUUGCAUGCAGUUUGCAACCUUGCAGCGAUGCAAAAGUGUUUGCCCGCACGGUGCAACCUUGCAGCGAUGCAAAAGUGUUUGCAUGCAGCUUGCAGCCUUGCAGCGAUGCAGACGCGCUUGCCCACACGACGCGAGCCUGCAGCGAUGCAAAGACAUUUGCACGCGCGGUGCAACCCUGCAGCAAUGCAAAAGCAGUCGCGUGCAUGGCGCAACUUUGCAGCUACGCAAAAACAUUUGCAUGCACGGUGCCACCUCACAGCAAUGCAAACGCACUUGCACGCCUGGUGCGACCUUGCAGUGAUGCAGAUGCGUUCGCAUGCACAAUGCAGCCUUGCAGCAAUGCAAACGCGUUUGCCUGCAGAUUGCAACCUUGCAGCAAUGCAAACGCACUUGCACGCACGAUGCAGCCUCACAGCAACGCAAACACGCUCGCACACACGGUGCAACAUUGCAGCAAUGCAAACACACUUAUAUGCACGGUGCAACCUUGCAGCAACGCAAACGCACUUGCACACGCACUGCAACCUCAGCAACGCAAACACACUCGCAUGCACGAUGCAAUCUCGCAGCAAUGCAAACACGCUUGCAUGCACGAUGCAGCCUUGCAGCAACGCAAACACACUCGCACCCUGCAACCUCGCAGCCAUGCAAAAGCAGUUGCAUGCAAGAUGCAACCUUGCAGCAAUGCAAACACGCUUUGCACGCACGAUGCAACCUUGCAGCCAUGCAAAAGCAGUUGCAUGCAAGAUGCAACCUCGCAGCAAUGCAAACACGCUUUGCACGCACGAUGCAACCUUGCAGCCAUGCAAAAGCAGUUGCAUGCAAGAUGCAACCUCGCAGCCAUGCAAACACGGUUGCGCNUUGCAGCAACGCAAACGCACUUGCACACGCACUGCAACCUCAGCAAUGCAAACACACUCGCAUGCACAAUGCAACCUUGCAGCCAUGCAAACGUGCUUUGCACGCACGAUGCAACCUUGCAGCUAUGCAAACGCGCUUUGCACGCAUGUUGCAACCUCGCAGCAACGCAAAAGCAGUUGCACGGUGCAACCUUGCAGCAACGCAAAAGCAGUUGCACGGUGCAACCUUGCAGCAACGCAAACGUACUUAUAUGCACGAUGCAACCUCGCAGCAAUGCAAAAGCAGUUGCAUGGUGCAACCUCGCAGCCAUGCAAACGCGGUCGCACACACGAUGCAACCUCGCAGCAAUGCAAACACGCUUUGCACGCACGAUGCAACCUUGCAGCCAUGCAAAUGCGGUUGCACACACGAUGCAACCUCGCAGCCAUGCAAACACGGUUGCGCACACGAUGCAACCUUGCAGCAAUGCAAAAUCGCUUGCACCCUGCAACCUCGCAGCCAUGCAAACGCGCUUUGCACGCACGAUGCAACCUCGCAGCAAUGCAAAAUCGCUUGCACCCUGCAACCUUGCAGCCAUGCAAACGCGCUUUGCAUGCACGAUGCAACCUCGCAGCCAUGCAAACGCGGUUGCGCGCUGCAACCUCGCGGCGGCGCGAGCGCGUUGGGGUGCAAACGUGCCGGUGCCCCCCCCCCCGGCGCAGGGACGGGCGCUUUGUGGAGCGGACGCUGCGGCUGGCGGGGACGCAGCCGCUGGAGGUGCUCGAGGCGCUGCACCGCAGCCUGGUGGCCGAGCGGCCCCGCGCCUGGGCCGACUGCGUCGCCU
Apteryx haastii (Great spotted kiwi) is the source of this 1835-nucleotide long non-coding RNA. The record is from Ensembl. Lineage: Eukaryota; Metazoa; Chordata; Aves; Apterygiformes; Apterygidae.